GACGAACGCUGGCGGCGUGCCUAAUACAUGCAAGUCGAACGAGAGCAACCGGUGCUUGCACUGGUCAAUCUAGUGGCGAACGGGUGAGUAACACGUGGGUAACCUGCCCAUCAGAGGGGGAUAACAUCCGGAAACGGAUGCUAAAACCGCAUAGGUCUUCGAACCGCAUGGUUUGAAGAGGAAAAGAGGCGCAAGCUUCUGCUGAUGGAUGGACCCGCGUUGCAUUAGCUAGUUGGUGAGGUAACGGCUCACCAAGGCCGUGAUGCAUAGCCGACCUGAGAGGGUGAUCGGCCACAUUGGGACUGAGACACGGCCCAAACUCCUACGGGAGGCAGCAGUAGGGAAUCUUCCGCAAUGGACGCAAGUCUGACGGAGCAACGCCGCGUGAGUGAAGAAGGUGUUCGGAUCGUAAAACUCUGUUGUUAGAGAAGAACAAGUGCUAGAGUAACUGUUAGCGCCUUGACGGUAGCUAAACAGAAAGCCACGGCUAACUACGUG
RNAcentral lists this ribosomal RNA (498 nucleotides) under uncultured bacterium. Its description in RNAcentral is "partial 16S ribosomal RNA". It matches the Rfam family "Bacterial small subunit ribosomal RNA", at positions 28 to 507 of the family's 1533-position model. The record is from RNAcentral.